GCACGGGGAAGAGGGUGCGUCCUGGUCGCAACGUGGAGGAUGCGGAGUGUCGCACAGGCGUGCCAGGCUAAGGGAGCCACACGAGCAAAGAUAAUACGAGUCCCUGGUAAAACUGAAAAGAUGCAAAAGUGUACACAGUGAAAAAAAUAAGCCUGCCUCCUACUCUUAGAGCCAAGCCACCUGAACCCUUCCCCAGAGACAACUGCUAUCAUCAAUUUCUUGCUUACUAAUUCCAGAGAUCCUUUAGAUGGAGAAGACAUGGAGGAGGACUAGGAGUCUGGAGCUGGAGCUUCAGGCGUCACUAGAUGGAUGGAUCUUAAGUUUCUGAAUCACUGUGUGGAAAGCCACCUG
This is a long non-coding RNA of Hyaena hyaena (striped hyena), 351 nucleotides long. RefSeq lists it as uncharacterized. NCBI's taxonomy places the organism in Eukaryota, Metazoa, Chordata, Mammalia, Carnivora, Hyaenidae. The transcript is spliced from 3 exons. The record is from RefSeq and is a predicted model, not a curated record.